AACGAACGCUGGCGGCAGGCUUAACACAUGCAAGUCGAACGCACCUUUCGGGGUGAGUGGCAGACGGGUGAGUAACGCGUGGGAAUCUACCCUUCUCUACGGGAUAGCUCCGGGAAACUGGAAUUAAUACCGUAUACGUCCUGAGGGAGAAAGAUUUAUCGGGGAAGGAUGAGCCCGCGUUGGAUUAGCUAGUUGGUGGGGUAAAGGCCUACCAAGGCGACGAUCCAUAGCUGGUCUAAGAGGAUGAUCAGCCACAUUGGGACUGAGACACGGCCCAAACUCCUACGGGAGGCAGCAGUGGGGAAUAUUGGACAAUGGGCGCAAGCCUGAUCCAGCCAUGCCGCGUGAGUGAUGAAGGCCCUAGGGUUGUAAAGCUCUUUCAGUGGGGACGAUAAUGACGGUACCCACAGAAGCAGCCCCGGCUAACUUCGUG
RNAcentral lists this ribosomal RNA (433 nucleotides) under uncultured bacterium. Its description in RNAcentral is "partial 16S ribosomal RNA". It matches the Rfam family "Bacterial small subunit ribosomal RNA", at positions 29 to 507 of the family's 1533-position model. The record is from RNAcentral.